AGGCUUUGAGCUGCCAACGAUGACAUAACCCUGUGUCGUUGACCCCAACAGUGACACUCCCUCCCCCCUACGAUAUAAGUGAAGCGAGGGCUGACACCAUUGGCAGUUAUUUCUUUGUCUGCUGUAUCAACACCGCGUAAUGGAGUGACCCUGACCUCCUUACAUCAGCUGCUGGAAGCAGCGCUGAACUCAAUAGUACAACUGUACACACCAACCACAGUCGACAGUGAAGCGAUAUUACAAGGUCCACCCUGCGGCCAUUCCUACCCAGCCGCCGGAAUAUAAUGGGGGGCGUGUGACUUGCCUCUGUGACAGGGCACAGUCAACUUUGACCUUAUCUACGCUGCCUGUGGCACGUCUCAUAGACGAGACUUCGGUCAGUUGGACACGAGAUUGGUGCUGGGUUACUGACAGGUGCAGGAGACAGGUGUAAAGUUUACCUGACUACCUACCAUCCAUGUUCUCUGUCGUCUGCUGUUUGGAGAGCUGUUGAAGAACGACGGCAGUGAAGAACGUCUGUUUUCAAGCUAACAGCACAAACCCAGACAUGAAUAUCUCAAACUCCGAGCAUCCAGUUAUCCAAGCAGUUCCUGGAGUUCAUGCUGGUCCAGAUACAGGUGGACUCGAAGUGAUACUAUUCGCGAUUCUGGGCAUGCUGAUGUGUAUAAUUGGUGUCCUGAGUGCUGUGUACGCUGCCAACAAAGACUGUUCGAAGAAGUCCAAAGCUCGUGCAGAGGCAUUGUGUGAAUGUGGAGAAGGUCGUGGUGGUGGUGGUGGUGGUGAUAGUGGGAUGAGCAAGAAGCUCAUCGAGGCUGUGAAGGGUAGUGAGGGAUUAUGAGGGAUGGUGAUAUGUUAUGAAGUAUGAGAACAACAAUCUAUUGAUGCUGUGUACAUGAAAUGUCAGAUGGCUGGCGUGUAGUCCACAUGGAGUCUAUGUUCUCCAAUGUUAGAUGGGUGACGAUAGUCGUGGUGCUAAAAAAUCAGAAUGAUGAUGAUGAUGAUGAUGAUGAUGAUGAUGAUGAUGAUGAUGUUUAGUAGUACUGAUGCAUAUGCGGGAUGUUUAGUAGUAUUGACCUGUCAAAAUGACGAUGUUCACAUACUAAAAUGUCAAGUAGAAGAAUCUGAUAUAUUCAUAUAUCAUUAAUAUUAUUCAUAUUAUCAAAAGGACAGAUCAAGAUAUUCAUACAAAUGAAAUGACAAACAGUUAAAGAUGUUGAAUGGACUGGAAUGGCAGAAAGAUGUAGCUGCUUGUUUACUCCGAUGUGACAGGGGCUGAAAGCACAGAUGUAGGUGUUCGUACACAGAGACUGUACUUAGUCAUCAGUCGUCUGUCUGUGACGAGAUUUGUGCGAGGUCCAGAGAACGCUUGUUGGUGAAAGGACUGUUGGGAUGUCUCCUGAUAUUUUGAUCUCUUGCCACUGCUCUCAAGUUUUAUUUUUUGGUCUAAAAAAUCAAGUUUGUUUUCUUGACUCUUUUUUGCUGACAAAAGUCAGUAUUAUAAUUAAAUUCGCUCUCAUGUUUAAAGUGGGGUUUACAUUGUAUUACAUAUAUAUAUAUUCCUACAUAUUUGUACUUGUUUUCCACGAUGAACUUAAAUGAUACAAGCGAAGUAGUGUGGACAGUGCCAAGAGACUUCAUACUAGUGCUUAUUGCGAUCUAAUCCUAUACUGAGCAGGUAAAUGAAAUGUAUGUAUAAAUUGAGUUUGCAUUGCUGUACAUCGCUACCUCACUGUGUAUUUACCUUCAUACAUCUACCACUAAAUGACCGCCAAACGCCGGGCUUGGAAUCGUUUGGAUAUAAAUGUGUGUCUGUGUGGGACUACGUGAUGCUGGCAGGGGAAGCAGUGCAGUUCGAACACCACCCUUUUGUUAUCUCCCUUUGACACCGGGGAGUGUUUUGGCGAACCGUAGGUGGCGCCACAUGAGGGAUGAGUGGAAAACAGGAUAUCAUUUGCAGGAGCUGAUUUAUCAGUGCUGGAGCGCCGCGCGCGUGGGUCCGGCAUGUCAAGCGGAAACCCGGACACGUAACCGCCAUCAGCAGCUGACGUCGAGCGCCCUCCCUCCCUCCCCGUCUCUUCCUCCCCAACCACCCCAUCACACCCCACCCCACCCCAGCCAAAUGUGCACGUGCAGCAGGAGGCACGUUCGUCCUCGUCCUGCUGGCGUGUGCGUCGCUCGUGUUAUCGGUGAUGUUAUCGAGAACGUUGUCGGAGCAAAGUGCACAUCGUUGGCCUGGUGUCCACUGCUUGUCCUCCCCUCUACGAGUUGUUUCUACAGUCUGGCGACACACUGGAUGAAUGGCAAGGGUGGCUGUGAAUGUAGGUUCCACUACAGACAAUAAAGCCUUAAAAAAGAAGGCACAUACCCUUCCUGCAUUUAUUCGGACCAUAAGUCUGACAAUAAUUUCUACAAAUAUGUCACAUGAUUCACCUACUUACCACGUGACAUUAUAAACUAUUUGGAUGCAUAUAUGAUUCUCUCUUUUCUAUUUUAUCUUUUCAGAUCGAGUUUUGUACUUGUCAAAAGAUAAAGAUUUUUUUUUUUUGGAAGGGGAGAGGGGUUGAACUCAUGUAAUGAAUACAAAUGUAAUCUGUUAGCUGGAGGCUUCAGUCGAGCAUGAAAAGUGACGGCAGCUCAUCUUUUUUUUUGUGUUUCAUGUCAUAAUGUGCUGAAUGUAUAAUUAUACUCCCCUGUAUUAAAUAAACUUGGUCAAGAUAUAUA
Molecule: long non-coding RNA, 2721 nt
Filed under: Pomacea canaliculata
Lineage: Eukaryota; Metazoa; Mollusca; Gastropoda; Architaenioglossa; Ampullariidae
Description: uncharacterized LOC112557592
Source: RNAcentral